RNAcentral lists this ribosomal RNA (414 nucleotides) under uncultured microorganism. RNAcentral describes it as "bacterial SSU rRNA". It matches the Rfam family "Archaeal small subunit ribosomal RNA", at positions 330 to 745 of the family's 1478-position model. The record is from RNAcentral.
GCGCACCAGGCGAGAAAACUUCACAAUGUGCGAAAGCACGAUGAGGGAAUCCCAAGUGCUUGCUCGUAAGAGUAAGCUGUUUCUCUGUCUAAAACGCAGAGAGAGUAAGGGCUGGGUAAGACGGGUGCCAGCCGCCGCGGUAAUACCUGCAGCUCGAGUGGUGGCCGCUAUUAUUGGGCCUAAAACGUCCGUAGCCGGUUUAUUAAAUGCCUGGGUAAAUCGGACCGCUUAACGGUUCGAAUUCCGGGUAGACUGAUAAACUUGAGACCGGGAGAAGCUAGAGGUACUCCUGGGGUAGAGGUGAAAUUCUGUAAUCCUAGGGGGACCACCAGUGGCGAAGGCGUCUAGCUAGAACGGGUCUGACGGUGAGGGACGAAGCCCUGGGGCGCAAACGGGAUUAGAUACCCCCGUAGU